Molecule: ribosomal RNA, 465 nt
Filed under: uncultured bacterium
Lineage: Bacteria
Description: bacterial SSU rRNA
Rfam family: Bacterial small subunit ribosomal RNA
Source: RNAcentral
CCUACGGGUGGCACCAGUGGGGAAUAUUGCACAAUGGGCGCAAGCCUGAUGCAGCCAUGCCGCGUGUAUGAAGAAGGCCUUCGGGUUGUAAAGUACUUUCAGCGGGGAGCAAGGUGUUGUGGUUAAUAACCGCAGCAAUUGAUGUUACCCGCAGAAGAAGCACCGGCUAACUCCGCGCCAACAGCCGCGGUAAUACGGAGGGUGCAAGCGUUAAUCGGAAUUACUGGGCGUAAAGCGCACGCAGGCGGUCUGUCAAGUCGGAUGUCAAAUCCCCGGGCUCAACCUGGGAACUGCAUUCGACACUGGCAGGCUAGAGUCUUGUAGAGGGGGGUAGAAUUCCAGGUGUAGCGGUGAAAUGCGUAGAGAUAUGGAGGAAUACCGGUGGCGAAGGCGGCCCCCUGGACAAAGACUGACGCUCAGGUGCGAAAGCCUGGGGGGCAAACAGGAUUAGAUACCCCCGUAGUC